UGUCUAGAUACUCUACCUGUAUAGAUCU
This 28-nucleotide non-coding RNA is filed under the name Rattus norvegicus (Norway rat). Lineage: Eukaryota; Metazoa; Chordata; Mammalia; Rodentia; Muridae. The record is from RNAcentral.